CCCUUAGACGUUCUGGGCCGCACACGCGCUACACUGAAGGAGGCAGCGUGUACUCCUGGAUCGAAAGAUUUGGGUAACCCGCGAAUCUCCUUCGUGCUAGGGAUUGAGGUUUGCAAUUAUCCUUCAUGAACGAGGAAUUCCCAGUAAGUGCAAGUCAUAAGCUUGCGCUGACUACGUCCCUGCCCUUUGUACACACCGCCCGUCGCUACUACCGAUUGAAUGAUUUAGUGAGGACUUCGGACUGGGACCGAUGCGGCUUUCGGGCUGCGUCGGUAUUCUGGAAAGAUGUCCAAACUGUAUCAUUUAGAGGAAGUAAAANUCGUANCA
RNAcentral lists this ribosomal RNA (327 nucleotides) under uncultured eukaryote. RNAcentral describes it as "partial 18S ribosomal RNA". It matches the Rfam family "Eukaryotic small subunit ribosomal RNA", at positions 1470 to 1796 of the family's 1831-position model. The record is from RNAcentral.